RNAcentral lists this ribosomal RNA (257 nucleotides) under uncultured bacterium. RNAcentral describes it as "partial 16S ribosomal RNA". It matches the Rfam family "Bacterial small subunit ribosomal RNA", at positions 793 to 1055 of the family's 1533-position model. The record is from RNAcentral.
GUCCACACGGUAAACGAUGAAUACUCGCUGUUGGCGAUACAAUGUCAGCGGCCAAGCGAAAGCAUUAAGUAUUCCACCUGGGGAGUACGCCGGCAACGGUGAAACUCAAAGGAAUUGACGGGGGCCCGCACAAGCGGAGGAACAUGUGGUUUAAUUCGAUGAUACGCGAGGAACCUUACCCGGGCUUAAAUUGCACUGGACAGGCCAAGAGAUUGGCUCUUCUUCGGAUCAGUGUGAAGGUGCUGCAUGGUUGUCGU